Molecule: long non-coding RNA, 745 nt
Filed under: Homo sapiens (human)
Lineage: Eukaryota; Metazoa; Chordata; Mammalia; Primates; Hominidae
Description: non-protein coding lnc-CCAR1-3:1
Source: RNAcentral
CAAAGGGAGCCAAGAAGAAAGUGCUUGAUCCAUUUUCUAAGAAAGAUUUGUAUUACGUGAAAGCAUCUGCCAUGUUCAAUAUAAGAAAUAUUGGGAAGACACUAGUCACCAGAACCCAAGGAACCAUAAUUGAAUCUGAUGGCCUCAAGGGUCGUGUAUUUGAAGUGAGUCUUGCUGAUAUGCAGAAUGAUAAAGUUGCAUUUAGAAAAUUCAGCUGAUUACUGAAGAUGUUCAGGGGAAUGAUUGCCUGAUGAGCUUCCAUGGCGUGGAUCUUACCUGUGACAAAAUAUGUUUCAUGGUCAAAAAAUGGCAGACAAUGGUUGAAGGUCAUGUCAAUAUCAAGACUACCGGUGCUUACUUGCUUCAUGUGUUCUGUGUUGGUUUUACUAAAAAAUGCAACAAUCAGAUACGGAAGACCUCUUAUGCUUAGCACCAAUGUUUCGGCCAAAUCUGGAACAAGUUGAUGGAAAUCAUGACCCGAGAGGUGCAGACAAAUUACUUGAAAGAAGUGGUCAAUAAAUUGAUUCCAGACAGGAUUGGAAAAGACAUAGAAAAAAUUCUUGCCAAUCUAUCCUCUCCAUGAUGUCUUUGUUAGAUAAGUUAAAAUGCUGAAGAAGCCUAGCUUUGAAUUGGGGAAACUCAUGGAGCUUUAUGGUGAAGGUAGCAGUUCUGGAAAAGCCACUGAGGACAAAACAGGUGCUAAAGUAGAACGAGCUGAUGGAUAUGAACCACUAGUCCAAGAAUC